RNAcentral lists this ribosomal RNA (400 nucleotides) under uncultured bacterium. RNAcentral describes it as "partial 16S ribosomal RNA". The record is from RNAcentral.
AAUCAGUCGGUACUCGUCGAAUUGCAUUCUUAAGAAUUCGCCCGCGCUGCCCGCGCCCGGUCCCCGGCCGCCCCGCCCGCCUACGGGAGGCAGCAGUGGGGAAUUGUUCACAAUUGGGCUGCAAGCCUGCAUGACGCAACUGCCGCGUGGAGGGAUGAAGUGCCUUCGNGGUCGUAAACCCCAUGAUCUAGAAUGGGACGCACAAAGCCUGCAGCAUUUAACAAAAACUGCAGGACUUGACUGUGUUACCGUUAAAGUGAAGCCACAAGCCUAACUCUGUGCCAAGACANAAGUNCUCGCCUCGAGGUUAAACAUUAAACCAACGAAANGUGGUNANGUGCCCACAUAGUCNCGGCUCUGUGGUAAUCCCAGGUAGGCACAUUUUUAACCUUUUGGNGUG